This 458-nucleotide ribosomal RNA is filed under the name uncultured bacterium. Its description in RNAcentral is "partial 16S ribosomal RNA". It matches the Rfam family "Bacterial small subunit ribosomal RNA", at positions 338 to 795 of the family's 1533-position model. The record is from RNAcentral.
CCUACGGUGGGCAGCAGUGGGGAAUAUUGCACAAUGGGGGAAACCCUGAUGCAGCGACGCCGCGUGAGUGAAGAAGUAAUUCGUUAUGUAAACCUCUUUUGUCAGGGAACAAAGGCGGGGACUAGUCCCCGGAUGAGGGUACCUGAAGAAAAAGCAUCGGCUAACUCCGUGCCAGCAGCCGCGGUAAUACGGAGGAUGCGAGCGUUAUCCGGAUUUAUUGGGUUUAAAGGGUGCGCAGGCGGCCUGUUAAGUCAGCGGUAAAAGCCCGGGUCUCAACCCCGGCGAGCCGUUGAAACUGGCGGGCUGGAGUUGGAGAGAAGUACGCGGAAUGCGCGGUGUAGCGGUGAAAUGCUUAGAUAUCGCGCAGAACCCCGAUUGCGAAGGCAGCGUACCGGCUCCACACUGACGCUGAGGCACGAAAGCGUGGGUAUCGAACAGGAUUAGAUACCCUGGUAGUC